GGCGGCGUAGCUCAGUUGGCAGAGCAGCGGACUCAUAAGCCGCGGGUCACUGGUUCGAGCCCAGUCGCCGCCACCU
Molecule: transfer RNA, 76 nt
Filed under: Candidatus Aquivivens invisus
Lineage: Bacteria; Pseudomonadati; Candidatus Omnitrophota
Also listed under: 5 other names
Description: Omnitrophica WOR_2 bacterium GWA2_63_20 tRNA-Met
Rfam family: tRNA
About the family: Transfer RNA (tRNA) molecules are approximately 80 nucleotides in length.
Source: RNAcentral